GAAUUUCCAUUAUAUAUGAUGUACAUGAGCAAUACUAGGGAACCAAAAGGGUAUUAGCCAAAAAUCAGCCAAAAUACUUUUGGUGAAUUCAAAAUUUAUACGAAUUAAUAUAUAUGGAUGUUUCUUCUGCUAAAUAUCAGAAUGUUUUUUUUU
Molecule: non-coding RNA, 153 nt
Organism: Arachis ipaensis
Lineage: Eukaryota; Viridiplantae; Streptophyta; Magnoliopsida; Fabales; Fabaceae
Source: RefSeq, a predicted model, not a curated record